Molecule: ribosomal RNA, 323 nt
Filed under: uncultured eukaryote
Lineage: Eukaryota
Description: partial 18S ribosomal RNA
Rfam family: Eukaryotic small subunit ribosomal RNA
Source: RNAcentral
CCCUUAGAUGUUCUGGGCUGCACGCGUACUACAAUGGAACUCGCAUCGAGUCGCGAAACUGAGAAGUUAAGCGAAUCUUGGAAUGUGUUCCGUGACCGGGACAGUUGAUUGCAAUUAUUCAACUCGAACGAGGAAUUCCUUGUAAUCGUGAUUCAUCAUAUCGCGAUGAAUACGUCCCUGCCCUUUGUACACACCGCCCGUCGCUCCUACCGAUUGAAUGGUCCGGUGAAAUCUUCGGAUCUGAGAGAUGUCUGAUUAAUUUCGGACGCCUUUUGGAAAAGUUGCUUAAACCUUACCAUUUAGAGGAAGGUGAAGUCGUAACA